This 63-nucleotide transfer RNA is filed under the name Palaestes abruptus. Its description in RNAcentral is "tRNA-Thr". It matches the Rfam family "tRNA". From Rfam's summary of the family: Transfer RNA (tRNA) molecules are approximately 80 nucleotides in length. Their secondary structure includes four short double-helical elements and three loops (D, anti-codon, and T loops). Further hydrogen bonds mediate the characteristic L-shaped molecular structure. tRNAs have two regions of fundamental functional importance: the anti-codon, which is responsible for specific mRNA codon recognition, and the 3' end, to which the tRNAs corresponding amino acid is attached (by aminoacyl-tRNA synthetases). tRNAs cope with the degeneracy of the genetic code in two manners: having more than one tRNA (with a specific anti-codon) for a particular amino acid; and 'wobble' base-pairing, i.e. permitting non-standard base-pairing at the 3rd anti-codon position. The record is from RNAcentral. Lineage: Eukaryota; Metazoa; Arthropoda; Insecta; Coleoptera; Cucujidae.
GUUUUAAUAAUUUAAUAAAAAUAUUAGUCUUGUAAACUAAAAAUAAGAUUAUCUUUUAAAGCU